Molecule: unclassified non-coding RNA, 1191 nt
Filed under: Hevea brasiliensis (rubber tree)
Lineage: Eukaryota; Viridiplantae; Streptophyta; Magnoliopsida; Malpighiales; Euphorbiaceae
Source: RNAcentral
GGUAGUUCCAAAGGAAAUGACUGAUGAUGUAGCCAAGGUUAAUAAGGAAUAUGAGAUGCUAGUCUUGUCUUACGAUUCUUCGUAAUCCCCUUUCUACCGAUUCCGAUAUAGCCAAAGGAGGGCUGUGGGUGUGGAAGGGGCCUAUCCGCCUCGUCUCUCACGUCGCGUAAUCGAGGUGGCUAAGGGUUUAAAGGACCUCCUACGUUAGGAAAAGGAAAAAAACUCCGAAGCUUUGGUAGCGUUGGAAGCUUUGGGUACUGGACCUCCUCUUUGCUAUUGAAGCUAUCGAUCUGAUCUUAGCCUACUCCUCGGGCUGUUCGGUACUUUAUAUGCUUGCCGCGGAUAAAGACUACUUUCCUAUUCGCUUGCCUGCGCGCCUCUAUUCAUGCGGGACCUCCAUGGAAGUGCCGCCGCCUCAUGUGGCUUACUGGCUGAUGUGGCUUACCGGCUUGCCUCGAGAAUGGACUAGUUGAAGUGACGCUUCGCUAGCAUCGGGAUUGACGAGCUUGCCUGGCAUUCAGGUAUUUAAUCCAGUCUUGCCUUAUUAGCAUUGACUCUUGCGAAGAAAGAACCUCAGGAACGGAAUCCACUUACUUUCCUCACUUCAAAAAAUGGACAGACUCACCAACCUGUCCAAAGGCCGAUCGCUUCGCUUGUCCCAUACCGGAAGUUUUUACCUACCCAACUGAGGCUUUCCUGGGACUUUCCGGGCGGUUCUAAAGGUGCUCCUCACUGGUCUUUCUCCUCCGCAGGUUAAGCCUACUCCUCAAUAAACAUCUUAUCUCAUCCACUGAGGAUCCUACUCCUCGUCUUCCUCCAUGAGGCGGCGGCAGGAGCAAAGACAAUCAGAGCUUCCCCCCCGAGGGGUAAUCCAUGCCCUUCCUCCAAGACCGCUCCGCUUAUUCUGCUCUCUUAUAGUUGUUCAUUUCUGAUUCACUUCUUCCUACCUCUGGGCACUUCACUGGGUCUCAUCACUUGAUUCCUGUGGGUGAGAGAAUAGUUCCUAUGCCAACCCUAAGAGGCUUAGACCGCUACCUCCCUUCGACUAUCAUUAUUCCCCCGGCUCCGGGAAUGAAUUAAGAAAUUGAAUCCUUUCAGUUAGCAUUAUAAUAUGCUUAACACAUUGAGUUCGAUGUAUAUAACGAUGUGCUCUAAGGGAGAAAAUGCAUUCUCUAUUCCCAUCCCGAAUCU